Non-coding RNA from Cinara cedri, 509 nucleotides. NCBI's taxonomy places the organism in Eukaryota, Metazoa, Arthropoda, Insecta, Hemiptera, Aphididae. The record is from the annotation of a GenBank genome assembly.
UUACUCGAAACUCUUAAAAAACCUUUUUGACUUGCCUUUUUGUUGCUCUGAGCCCUAUUAUUAUAUACUUUGCCGGAAAAAUACAUUUUAUUACUCGUUGUCACUAUCUAAAGUAUAAUGUGUAUGACAUUACACCCGCAUUACCUCAAAGUGGUAUGCAAUUAUAUCACCUACUUUACUUCUGAAACUAGAUAUUUUAAUUCAUUGUUUAUUUAUUUAUAAUUUCGACAACUGGUGACAAUAUUAUACAAAUUUAUAAAACAUUUUAGAAAGAAUAACAAUACAUAACUAAUGUAAAAUUAGUAUAGUAGAUACAUAAAGUAAUGGAAAGUAAAAAAAAAAAAAGAUGUGAUACUGAGGUUAUGGGAGAGGCCACUGUUGUAGGUGAGUAGUUGGGAAGGUAAGAUACAUAAGGUUCUUUAUAUCUGUAAGCAACGAUAAACCAUUGUUCGAUGAAUGAUGAUUCCGAACGCGGUUCGGUAAUACAUAUUUUGAAGUGCGGUAAUUUU